UCGACUCCUGAAGCUGCUGGAGGGUCCAUGGAGCUCAGAGGAAGGGUUUUGCACCUUCCCCACUUUCUCUCUCUAGGUUUUCUCUCUCUUCGAGUAGAAAUUGUUGAUUUGCGCCUAUUUCUCGCCGUUCGUCGCGCUAGCUGGUUUGUGGACUUUGGAGCAGCUACGAGUGGGUGGAAAGGACUCGCAUGAGAGGUAUUUUCGCAGCUCCAACUUUCAGGGAACCUGAAUUGAAGUCUAGUGAGCUGGUUUGAGAUGGUUUAAAGCACCAAUUGAGGAGUGGUUUUGCUGUAAUCCUUCACCCCAAAGUCAGAGUUAAAGCCUUCGAGGUUUCCAAAUUAAUUUGAGCUGAAUUUGUG
Molecule: long non-coding RNA, 359 nt
Organism: Ananas comosus (pineapple)
Lineage: Eukaryota; Viridiplantae; Streptophyta; Magnoliopsida; Poales; Bromeliaceae
Exons: 3
Source: RefSeq, a predicted model, not a curated record